RNAcentral lists this ribosomal RNA (497 nucleotides) under uncultured bacterium. RNAcentral describes it as "partial 16S ribosomal RNA". It matches the Rfam family "Bacterial small subunit ribosomal RNA", at positions 28 to 507 of the family's 1533-position model. The record is from RNAcentral.
GACGAACGCUGGCGGCGUGCCUAAUACAUGCAAGUCGAGCGGACGAAUCGAAAGCUUGCUUUUGAUUCGUUAGCGGCGGACGGGUGAGUAACACGUGGGCAACCUGCCCUGUAGACGGGGAUAACACCGAGAAAUCGGUGCUAAUACCGGAUAACACGAAAUGUCGCAUGACGUUUCGUUGAAAGACGGCGCAAGCUGUCGCUACAGGAUGGGCCCGCGGCGCAUUAGCUAGUUGGUGAGGUAACGGCUCACCAAGGCGACGAUGCGUAGCCGACCUGAGAGGGUGAUCGGCCACACUGGGACUGAGACACGGCCCAGACUCCUACGGGAGGCAGCAGUAGGGAAUCUUCCGCAAUGGACGAAGUCUGACGGAGCAACGCCGCGUGAGCGAAGAAGGCCUUCGGGUCGUAAAGCUCUGUUGUUAGGGAAGAACAAGUAACGCAGUAACUGGCGUUACCGUGACGGUACCUAACGAGAAAGCCACGGCUAACUACGUG